GGGUGAUUAGCUCAGCUGGGAGAGCACCUCCCUUACAAGGAGGGGGUCGGCGGUUCGAUCCCGUCAUCACGCCACA
RNAcentral lists this transfer RNA (76 nucleotides) under Klebsiella pneumoniae subsp. pneumoniae. RNAcentral's name for it is "tRNA-Val". It matches the Rfam family "tRNA". From Rfam's summary of the family: Transfer RNA (tRNA) molecules are approximately 80 nucleotides in length. The record is from RNAcentral. Lineage: Bacteria; Pseudomonadati; Pseudomonadota; Gammaproteobacteria; Enterobacterales; Enterobacteriaceae.